This 258-nucleotide ribosomal RNA is filed under the name uncultured fungus. Its description in RNAcentral is "partial 28S ribosomal RNA". It matches the Rfam family "Eukaryotic large subunit ribosomal RNA", at positions 1 to 250 of the family's 3401-position model. The record is from RNAcentral. Lineage: Eukaryota; Fungi.
UUGAUCUCAAAUCAGGUAGGACUACCCGCUGAACUUAAGCAUAUCAAUAAGCGGAGGAAAAGAAACUAACAAGGAUUCCCCUAGUAACUGCGAGUGAAGCGGGAAGAGCUCAAAUAUAAAAUCUGGCGUGCCUCUGGCCGUCCGAGUUGUAGUCUGGAGAAGCGUUUUCCGUGUUGGACCGUGUAUAAGUCUCUUGGAACAGGGCGUCAUAGAGGGUGAGAAUCCCGUCUUUGACACGGACUACCAAUGCUUUGUGAU